Herpailurus yagouaroundi (jaguarundi) is the source of this 337-nucleotide long non-coding RNA. RefSeq lists it as uncharacterized. The transcript is spliced from 3 exons. NCBI's taxonomy places the organism in Eukaryota, Metazoa, Chordata, Mammalia, Carnivora, Felidae. The record is from RefSeq and is a predicted model, not a curated record.
AAUGACUAAUUGCUCCAUCUUAAAAACCUGUUGUUAGGGCUUGAGUUCUGUGCAUGAAGUGUCUUUAAAGUCAAGUAACAUUUACUAAACUCUCACCAUGUGCCAAGAACUGUGUGUACCCUAACAGACUUGACCCCCUAAUAACAUGGCAUAGGAAGUCCAGUUUCACAGAUGUUAAAGUAACUUACUAAAGAUUACACAUCUAAUAAGUAGUGAAGUCAGAUUCAAAAUCCAGAUGUCUGAUUCUUCCUUUUAAUUUAUUUUAUUAAAAAAAUUUUUUAAUGUUUAUUUUUGAAGAGAGAGAGAGACACAGAGUGUGAGUGGGAGAGGGGCAGAG